RNAcentral lists this long non-coding RNA (1552 nucleotides) under Musa acuminata (dwarf banana). RNAcentral describes it as "long non-coding RNA (MACU_LNC002316)". Lineage: Eukaryota; Viridiplantae; Streptophyta; Magnoliopsida; Zingiberales; Musaceae. The record is from RNAcentral.
UGAGAACAAAGGAGAAAGAUAAGAACUUUGUUCCAACUUCAAGACUUCAUUGCACAAUCUCUGAAAGCAAUCAUUGAAGGUAACAGCUUUAUUAAUUUGUAGUAAAAUAAUAACUAGGAUAUGCAAUCAAUGAUAAAUACACUUGAUCAUGAAGAAAUUUUUAUUUCAUAACUCCCAUGGAGCUAGACAUAAUCCAUGAAUCAAUUUCAAGAUCAAGACCCAAACAUAAUACAGAGAUAUGACAUUCAGCUCCUUCAGGUCUGAUUCCUUCCUGAAAUAAAUAAUGAACUGGAUAAGAAUCUUUAUUGGAGGAAUUGGAAAGAAAUCAAUAACCUAAUUUUAAAAAUAACUGAUCGUGAACUAAUCUGUAAAUUAACUGCAUACGAUAAGCAACAUAAAACUUUGUUAUAUAGUUAGCAUAAUCACAUCAGCAAGGGGAAAAGUAAUUUUAUAAGAAAGCUUUGUUCCAUUAAUAGUUUUACGUAAUAAACCUCUCAGUAAACACAUACAGGACAAGAUCCAAGACUGACACAAGCAUGUUACUUGGUUAUGUCCAAUGUAAUAUCAGAUUCAUUAUGUAAAAGAAAAUUGAACUCAGAAUACUGAAAAAGCCAAUUCUAUAAAGUACGCAAGUCAAAAGAAGAAAUAACCAGGAGGCAACCUAGCGUGCUGCUUCAUCCAAAAGGCUUUUAAUUAGGGCUAAUCUAAAAAGAGAAGGGUAGUGACAAGAUAAAAGGGCAUAUCCAAUGCAUAAGGUUCCCACCAAUUUAUAGUAAGACAAGCUAAAAAACAUAAAUAUAGUAUACAGCUGGCGUCCUUUGCAUGAUGAAACAAAAAUUUGAACAUGGAUCUAGCAACAAGACCUAUCAGAUGUGACCGUGGGAUGACUUCCUAGAUGGGGAACGUUGAUAUCUAAUAGGAGAACUAGACCAAUCAGAUGUGUCCCGUCGUUUGUGCUCCCUGUUUUCCACCGCAGGCGCCAUCCUUCGUCACAAAGUAGCCAAAGCUCCGAGUCGCAAUAUAAUCAAGUAAUUGAUAUCACUGAGUUCAAGCUAAAAUUCGUCAGAACAAGCACUAUAGUCAGAUUGACGAACAAAAACUAAUUUUCCAUUAAUAUCAUGAAGCAAUAAAGCAGGAUUAAGAAAAGCACACAUUUCCCACAAAUAGAGUAUCUCGAUUCCAGAGCCCACCAAAGACAAUGGGCAAAACCAUAGCUCAAAGCCAUCAAACGAAAGGAUAAGACAAAGAAACUUUAUAGAACACCAAGAAAAGAGAAAAAACCUAACUUUAACGCGCUCAUCAAUUUUUAUUCUCACUGCACUAUAUUAUUUGUACCAGUUGCAAACAACGAAAGAACGAAAACAAAGAUGGCAGGAAUACUAACUGAGAUGUGUUUGAUACGAAAGAGAGAAAAAGAAAAUCCGCGACAGCCAAGAAAAAGGGAUCUCAGAGGAGAAACUUACAUGCGAGAGAGGCAGGAGAGGGAAUGGAAGGAUAGCCCUAUCCAACGACGGAGCGUUCGCCACCGAGGGGAGGCGCCAUGGACGAACGC